UACGGAAGGCAGCAGUGGGGAAUAUUGCACAAUGGGCGCAAGCCUGAUGCAGCCAUGCCGCGUGUAUGAAGAAGGCCUUCGGGUUGUAAAGUACUUUCAGUCGUGAGGAAGGUGUUAAGGUUAAUAACCUUAGCAAUUGACGUUAGCGACAGAAGAAGCACCGGCUAACUCCGUGCCAGCAGCCGCGGUAAUACGGAGGGUGCGAGCGUUAAUCGGAAUUACUGGGCGUAAAGGGCACGCAGGCGGUUAAUUAAGUUGGAUGUGAAAUCCCCGGGCUUAACCUGGGAAUGGCAUUCAAGACUGGUUAGCUAGAGUCUUGUAGAGGGGGUUAGAAUUCCAUGUGUAGCGGUGAAUGCGUAGAGAUGUGGAGGAAUACCGGUGGCGAAGGCGGCCCCUGGACAAAGACUGACGCUCAUGUGCGAAAGCGUGGGGAGCAAACAGGGAUUAGAUACC
This 453-nucleotide ribosomal RNA is filed under the name uncultured bacterium. Its description in RNAcentral is "bacterial SSU rRNA". It matches the Rfam family "Bacterial small subunit ribosomal RNA", at positions 340 to 786 of the family's 1533-position model. The record is from RNAcentral.